Molecule: small nuclear RNA, 200 nt
Organism: Anastrepha ludens (Mexican fruit fly)
Lineage: Eukaryota; Metazoa; Arthropoda; Insecta; Diptera; Tephritidae
Product: U2 spliceosomal RNA
Exons: 1
Source: RefSeq, a predicted model, not a curated record
AAUUCUCAAAAGGUUUAUUAGAAAAUGUAUUGACUAGGUAGUUUGUUGGUUGAAGCUUAACAUCUGAUAGAUCCUCCAUCGGAGGACAACAAAUGUUAAACUGAUUUUUGGAAAUGGGCGGAGUGUUUUAGGGGCUUGCUCCACCUCUGCCACGGGUUGGCCCGGUAUUGGAGUACGGCCGGGAUUUCGGCCCAAAUUAU